RNAcentral lists this ribosomal RNA (468 nucleotides) under uncultured bacterium. RNAcentral describes it as "partial 16S ribosomal RNA". It matches the Rfam family "Bacterial small subunit ribosomal RNA", at positions 28 to 507 of the family's 1533-position model. The record is from RNAcentral.
GACGAACGCUGGCGGCGUGCUUAACACAUGCAAGUCGAACGGAAAGGCCCUGCUUUUGUGUGGUGCUCGAGUGGCGCACGGGUGAGUAACACGUGAGUAACCUGCCCUUGACUUGGUGAUAUCUUCAGGAAACCGCGGCUAAUACCGGAUAGGAGCUCCUGCUGCAUGGGGGGGGUUGGACAGUUUCGGCGGUUGUGGAUCGACUCGCGGGUUACCAGCUUGUUGGUGGGGUAGUUGCUUACCAAGGCUUCGACGGCUAGGCGGCAUGGGAGGGUGAACGGGGACAUGGGGACUGAGAGAGGGCGCAGUGGGGUACGUGGGGCAGCGGUGGAGAGUAUGACACAAUGAGGCGAAGCGUGUUGCGGAGGCGUCGCGUGCGGAAUGACGGCCUUGGGGUUGUAAACCGCUGUAGCCUGUGACGAAGCGUGAGUGACGGUAAUGGGUAAAGAAGCACCGGCUAACUACGUG